AAACAGCCCCCUAUGUUUUGAUUCUUUGGCAGUUUUGGACCCCAAGGCAAAAAAAAUAAAAAAUAUUGACACGUGGCACCUCACUUAGGAUGCCACGUCAGCGUUGACCGAGUCAACAAUGAACUGGGGGUCCAAAGCUGCCAAAGAAUCAAAAGAUAGGGGGCUGUUU
This 169-nucleotide microRNA precursor is filed under the name Medicago truncatula (barrel medic). RNAcentral describes it as "MIR2619 microRNA precursor family". It matches the Rfam family "MIR2619 microRNA precursor family". The record is from Rfam by way of RNAcentral. Lineage: Eukaryota; Viridiplantae; Streptophyta; Magnoliopsida; Fabales; Fabaceae.